UCUAACAUUUAUUCUAACACUAUGUGUGUCUGUUAGAAGCAUGACACUUGGGUUUUUUUUAAGUUAACUGAAGUUCAUCAUUCUUUUGUUGAUGCAAAUUAGGUUAAUCUUUUAAUUUGUAUUAUUAUUUGACAGCCAUUUGAGUGUCUGCUCUGCUAGAUUCUGACUAGACACUGUUGAAUAAAGUUAACACCAUCCUACCUCUCAAGAGCUUAAUAAUAGACUCCCGGCAGGUAGGAAAUCUUACAGGUGUUGUGGUAAGUUCUGUGAUAGAGAAAGCACACAGUGCUAUGGAAACAUAUAGGAAGGACACCAAACCUUUUCAUUGGUGAGGGAUGCAUUUUUGGUUUCUGAUCUAAGUAGGUUUGGUUUUUGUUUGUUCUUCUGAGCUUUUCAGAGUACUCUAGAGAAUCUAUGUUUCACCUAAGUGUGUUCUGUAGAGAAGAAAAGAGAUUUAAAGAUUAAAACACAAAGCAAAACCAUUUACAUGCCAGGUGUAGUGUAAUUGGGUAAACUGGCUGGUGCCUGUGAUCCCAAUUUGAACUAUUCAAGAGAAUGCGGACCAUAGGGUUGUGAGUUCAGACUGGAUGUGGCAAAGUUAAGAAGAGACUAUGUCAGAACACAUUGAGCUGAAAGGUUGCUCAAGAGGUAGGUGGUAUUUUUGCUGGGUGUGAGAGGAGCCCUGGAUUCUCACUUUGGUACCACAAAAGGAAA
Perognathus longimembris pacificus (Pacific pocket mouse) is the source of this 714-nucleotide long non-coding RNA. RefSeq lists it as uncharacterized. The transcript has 2 exons. Lineage: Eukaryota; Metazoa; Chordata; Mammalia; Rodentia; Heteromyidae. The record is from RefSeq and is a predicted model, not a curated record.